Molecule: long non-coding RNA, 789 nt
Filed under: Malus domestica (apple)
Lineage: Eukaryota; Viridiplantae; Streptophyta; Magnoliopsida; Rosales; Rosaceae
Description: long non-coding RNA (MDOM_LNC005542)
Source: RNAcentral
CCGCAGAUUGUCCUUUCUGGGACGUAUAUCCAUGUGGCGACUGUCAUGCUUCUGGCAUACAACAGUUAUGCUUUGGGAAUGCAAUAGUUUAGUAGUGUCAUAUUCUUCUUCUUUCGAAUGAAUGAACCUUUUGAGUGUAAGGGUCUGCCACGCUUCAGGCGUGCAAUAGAUAAAUCAUUUACUGCCUCAUUAUAUUUUGUCCAACAAGGAAAUCAAUUCUUGUAGUCACAUUUGCAGCAGGUGUAUAUGAUUUCAUCACUUUCGUUGCAUCAUUCAAUUAUUCUUACUUCAUUUUCUCAUUGAUUGCUUCGUGAAUCAAAAUAAAACAAAUUCUCUUCGUUCUUCUGGAACGGUCUUUUCUUAUCAUUCUUCUGGAAUGAUAUUUUCUCAUCAUUCUUCUGGAACAAUGUUAUUUUCUCCCCCUAAUGGCGGGAAAACUGUCUUAUCAAAAUCAUAGUUCGUAAAUCAUGCGGUAAAUAUAUCCCAAAUCAAGAUAAAUUCCCAGUUUGUAUUGAUGGUGGAUCGAAUUCAACAUAAAUUCCUAGUUUGUAUUGAUGCCUUAUUUUAGUACGUUGUGGUAGUCUUACAGGCACAGAUAACACAACCAAAAACUCGUAAAUGUUAAUGUUUGGCUGGUGCCCAAACACGAGUUGUACUGAGAAAUAUUGAUGGUUGGCAACUGGUCUCAACCAAACUUAAUAAUGAAUUAUGUAAAAUGGUAUGUCCACAUGUAGAAAACUUGCAAUUUCGUUUUCAUGAGUAGAGUGCGGGUAAUCAAUUUCAUCCACU